GACGAACGCUGGCGGCGUGCUUAACACAUGCAAGUCGAACGGAAAGGCCCUGCUUUUGUGGGGUGCUCGAGUGGCGAACGGGUGAGUAACACGUGAGUAACCUGCCCUUGACUUUGGGAUAACUUCAGGAAACUGGGGCUAAUACCGGAUAGGAGCUCCUGCUGCAUGGUGGGGGUUGGAAAGUUUCGGCGGUUGGGGAUGGACUCGCGGCUUAUCAGCUUGUUGGUGGGGUAGUGGCUUACCAAGGCUUUGACGGGUAGCCGGCCUGAGAGGGUGACCGGCCACAUUGGGACUGAGAUACGGCCCAGACUCCUACGGGAGGCAGCAGUGGGGAAUAUUGCACAAUGGGCGGAAGCCUGAUGCAGCAACGCCGCGUGCGGGAUGACGGCCUUCGGGUUGUAAACCGCUUUCGCCUGUGACGAAGCGUGAGUGACGGUAAUGGGUAAAGAAGCACCGGCUAACUACGUGCCAGCAGCCGCGGUGAUACGUAGGGUGCGAGCGUUGUCCGGAUUUAUUGGGCGUAAAGGGCUCGUAGGUGGUUGAUCGCGUCGGAAGUGUAAUCUUGGGGCUUAACCCUGAGCGUGCUUUCGAUACGGGUUGACUUGAGGAAGGUAGGGGAGAAUGGAAUUCCUGGUGGAGCGGUGGAAUGCGCAGAUAUCAGGAGGAACACCAGUGGCGAAGGCGGUUCUCUGGGCCUUUCCUGACGCUGAGGAGCGAAAGCGUGGGGAGCGAACAGGCUUAGAUACCCCGGUAGUCCACGCUGUAAACGGUGGGUACUAGGUGUGGGGUCCAUUCCACGGGUUCCGUGCCGUAGCUAACGCUUUAAGUACCCCGCCUGGGGAGUACGGCCGCAAGGCUAAAACUCAAAGGAAUUGACGGGGCCCCGCACAAGCGGCGGAGCAUGCGGAUUAAUUCGAUGCAACGCGUAGAACCUUACCUGGGUUUGACAUGGAUCGGGAGUGCUCAGAGAUGGGUGUGCCUCUUUUGGGGUCGGUUCACAGGUGGUGCAUGGCUGUCGUCAGCUCGUGUCGUGAGAUGUUGGGUUAAGUCCCGCAACGAGCGCAACCCUUGUUCACUGUUGCCAGCACGUUAUGGUGGGGACUCAGUGGAGACCGCCGGGGUCAACUCGGAGGAAGGUGGGGAUGACGUCAAGCCAUCAUGCCCCUUAUGUCCAGGGCUUCACGCAUGCUACAAUGGCUGGUACAGAGAGUGGCGAGCCUGUGAGGGUGAGCGAAUCUCGGAAAGCCGGUCUCAGUUCGGAUUGGGGUCUGCAACUCGACCUCAUGAAGUCGGAGUCGCUAGUAAUCGCAGAUCAGCAACGCUGCGGUGAAUACGUUCCCGGG
RNAcentral lists this ribosomal RNA (1343 nucleotides) under uncultured bacterium. Its description in RNAcentral is "16S ribosomal RNA". It matches the Rfam family "Bacterial small subunit ribosomal RNA", at positions 28 to 1378 of the family's 1533-position model. The record is from RNAcentral.